GACGAGACGACGUAUUUCCUGCGGAACGGCAGAACCUUGACGUAAAAAAACUGCCCACCUCCGCAAAGUUUAUACAAAUUAACAACGCGUAACCUAGAACACCGCAACGUCACUUCUUAUUCAUAGGCUAUAAAUGUCUGGGAUGGGCGCGAAGGUUCUAUCUGAGGCGAAAGGUCAAUUCUUCGCAUUCUCUGACAUCAUCAAGAAGAUGAGUCAAGUGUUGCCACACUAUGUAUACCAAACGUCGCAUUUCACUGGAAACCGUUUCGAAACGUAGCAAAAAAAGAUGGUUUUGCUUUCCAUGAGAAACAAGACGAAAGAUAGCGGCAUAGGAUAAACAAGUAAACCUCCCAUGUUGUGACGUAAACUGCUUAGAAACGGCGAAACAUUUAUAGUAAGGAAUUCACCAUGGCUUCUCUUGUGUCUCACUGCGUAAUUGGAAUGUUUCAUGCGUCGACUUGCAAAAGAGGUCAACUGUUUCAUACUGCUAAAACGUACACAAGAAGCAACCUUGAGGCCAAACGUUAAGCUGGCGAUUGAAAAGCUGUGUUGUGCACAGUGAAGUUUUUCAGUGAGUUUCCUUUUGAAGAUUGGUAGGAUUUUGCGUUUCGCACUUGAAGAACAAUCUUUUGCGGUUCGAGAUGAACGGCAUUUCUGCUGGGAACUAUUUCGUUGAUUUUUGGUUGAAACAACAGAGCACAAGGAGAGAGGAGAUACUUCAUAUCAUCCUACCAGUCGACUUAUUAAUUUAAUUAAAUUUAAUCAAAUUUGCGGUGCUUUCUUGGUAUUUUCAAAAUUUUUCAUUAUUUUUUCCUCAGGAACUUAUCAUCGAAAAGUGUGCACAAUCUCCCUAAUCCACACAACUCAAAUUCGCAAAAUUUUUGUGAAUGUGCGUUCCGUUACGAAGGUUGAGAGUACUCGAAGCAUUGUGCACGAGUCACCAAUUUAUCCUUCACUUCAGCUCAAAAUUCGCAAAAUUUUUAUGAAUGAUUCGUUCUGUUUUGAACGUUGGGAUUACUCGAAACUUUGAUUCUUCUGCAUUAUGCACGAGUCACCAAUUUAUCCUGCACUAGAGCUCUACACUGCUAAGACUCUACUGAAGUUUUACCUCAGUUACGGCUAGUACCGUCUCGUCUCAAAACUGCCUCUGCUUCUCUUCCGCUAAACCGGGCUUCAUUUACUUCUUCUAAAGUAGCGGAUACUUUAUCUUCCUCCUUUUGUCUUUGAUCAAACCAAGACACGAUCACUUAUAUCUGUUUCAACCGGGUUAAUGGCAUGCAAAUCUAUUUAACGACCUUCCUUUAUUGCUUAAGGACUGUUUGCCAAACAAAAGGUCACCCACAUAUUGCGCAAGUUUCCCUUUAGCUGGGUUUUACGAUGGGAACGCGUUUAAGAUACGUUAGACGUACUUUUAUUUACAUCGUUGUUAAUAAUUACUAAGCUUACGUUAAAGAUGUACCAAGAAAAAAGGCAAAAGUUACAGAUGGGAAGAUGCCGACAACAAAACUACUUAGAUUCACAGACAUGGUUUAAUACUACCUUGGAGAAAGAUCAAGGCCCGGAUUGUGUUCGUAUUUGUCUGAUGCGAUUAAGUGCUUCCGCAAAUUUAUUUUGUAAAUAUUUCUUUGAAGUGAUGGGAAAAACGCCAAAUCGGCGACAAAAUGUCCUGAGGCGAAGUUCCUAAUUUCCGACAAUUUACAUAGUUACAGAUCAAGGAACACUCUUUCUUAAACUAAAAAAAACUUGGAGUUGAUUAUAAGAAACUGUUUGUUCGAUCAAAUAGUCGCUUAUUAUGUCGAGACUUAACUAGUAAUAGUAAAAAAAAAUCCCCAUUGAAAAGGCACGUGCCACAAAUAUAUUAUCGUAUCAGCAAAUAAAUACUUUUAUUGCAAAAUAAUGCUCAAGGGAUUUUAAUGCUGACUGACGUCAAAUAAGAUUUCACGCGAUUUCUUACACCGUUUUUUGGUUCAAUCAAUGACGAAAUUUUAUUGAAUUGAUUUAUGUUUGGUUUGUAUCAAUACAACGGGGAUAAACAUUUCCAAGAAUUUUUUCUGUAUAUACUGCAGCCAGGCAAACCCAACGAAUAAUUCAUUUCAUUAAAUUCAAAGUCCAGUUGCGGAGAAAAAACACACUUAAUCUAAUUUUUGAUCAGCCUCUAAUUACAGUCAUAAACAAGAUUACUGAAUAAGGAUUGGUAAUAAAAGUAUUAUCUUAA
Molecule: long non-coding RNA, 2215 nt
Organism: Pocillopora damicornis (cauliflower coral)
Lineage: Eukaryota; Metazoa; Cnidaria; Anthozoa; Scleractinia; Pocilloporidae
Source: RefSeq, a predicted model, not a curated record